This 907-nucleotide ribosomal RNA is filed under the name uncultured termite gut bacterium Cd10. RNAcentral's name for it is "partial 16S rRNA". It matches the Rfam family "Bacterial small subunit ribosomal RNA", at positions 505 to 1403 of the family's 1533-position model. The record is from RNAcentral.
GGAUCCCAGCCGCCGCCGUAAUACGUAGGGUGCAAGCGUUGUCCGGAAUUAUUGGGCGUAAAGCGCUCGUAGGCUGUGAAUUGCGUCUAUUGUGAAAUCUGAUAGCUCAACUAUCAGCUUGCAACGGGUACGGAUUCACUAGAAUGCAAUAGGGGUAACUGGAAUUACUAAUGUAGUGGUGAAAUGCAUAGAUAUUAGUAAGAACACCAAUGGCGAAGGCAGGUUACUGGAUUGUAAUUGACGCUAAGGGGCGAAAGCGUGGGUAGCAAACGGGAUUAGAUACCCCGGUAGUCCACGCCGUAAACGUUGGGAACUAGGCGUAUACUUUAUGUAAGUGAAGUAUGUGUACGAAGCUAACGCGUUAAGUUCCCCGCCUGGGGAGUACGGCCGCAAGGCUAAAACUUAAAGGAAUUGACGGGGCCCCGCACAAGCGGCGGAGCACGCGGUUUAAUUCGAGGAUACGCGAAGAACCUUACCAAGGCUUGAAAUUUAGUGGACCGAUUAUAGAAAUAUGAUCUUUCCCUUACGGGACUGCUAAACAGGUGGUGCAUGGUCGUCGUCAGCUCGUGUCGUGAGAUGUUGGGUUAAGUCCCAUAACGAGCGCAACCCUUAUCUUAUGUUACUAACAUUUAGUUGAGGACUCAUAAGAGACUGCCAGAGAUAAUCUGGAGGAAGGUGGGGACGAAGUCAGGUCAUCAUGCCCCUUAUGUCUUGGGCUACACGCAUGCUACAAUGGAUAGCACAAAGAGUCGCAAUACUGUAAAGUGGAGCUAAUCUCAAAAAGCUAUUCUCAAUUCGGAUUGGGGUCUGCAACUCGACCCCAUGAAGCUGGAGUCGCUAGUAAUCGUGAAUCAGCAAUGUCACGGUGAAUACGUUCUCGGGGCUUGUACACACCGCCCGUAAGCUU